AGUCCCAAUAUCCCAUUAAUAGGGUCCCAAUCCCAUUAAUGGGGUCAGAACACUCACAUAUAAUUAGGUGGGUCCCAUCCCAUCAAUGGGGUCAAGUCCCACCAAUAAGGACCCAAUAACUUGGGGGGGGGGGGGACAGACCCCAUUGAUUUCUAUGGGGUUCCAUUGAAUUCUGGGCAAUGAAGGUUAUGGGGUGGGGGGGGUCCCAUCCCAUUAAUGGGGUCAUUCAAUCAAUGGGGUCCCAUCCCACUAAUGGGGUCCCAUUAAUCAAUGGGGUCAAGUCCCACCAAUAAGGACCCAAUAACUUGGGGGGGGGGGGAGACAGACCCCAUUUGAUUUCUAUGGGG
RNAcentral lists this long non-coding RNA (347 nucleotides) under Coturnix japonica (Japanese quail). RNAcentral describes it as "lncRNA (ENSCJPG00005002662.1)". The record is from RNAcentral. Lineage: Eukaryota; Metazoa; Chordata; Aves; Galliformes; Phasianidae.